This is a non-coding RNA of Escherichia coli str. K-12 substr. MG1655, 2905 nucleotides long. Lineage: Bacteria; Pseudomonadati; Pseudomonadota; Gammaproteobacteria; Enterobacterales; Enterobacteriaceae. The record is from Rfam.
GGUUAAGCGACUAAGCGUACACGGUGGAUGCCCUGGCAGUCAGAGGCGAUGAAGGACGUGCUAAUCUGCGAUAAGCGUCGGUAAGGUGAUAUGAACCGUUAUAACCGGCGAUUUCCGAAUGGGGAAACCCAGUGUGUUUCGACACACUAUCAUUAACUGAAUCCAUAGGUUAAUGAGGCGAACCGGGGGAACUGAAACAUCUAAGUACCCCGAGGAAAAGAAAUCAACCGAGAUUCCCCCAGUAGCGGCGAGCGAACGGGGAGCAGCCCAGAGCCUGAAUCAGUGUGUGUGUUAGUGGAAGCGUCUGGAAAGGCGUGCGAUACAGGGUGACAGCCCCGUACACAAAAAUGCACAUGCUGUGAGCUCGAUGAGUAGGGCGGGACACGUGGUAUCCUGUCUGAAUAUGGGGGGACCAUCCUCCAAGGCUAAAUACUCCUGACUGACCGAUAGUGAACCAGUACCGUGAGGGAAAGGCGAAAAGAACCCCGGCGAGGGGAGUGAAAAAGAACCUGAAACCGUGUACGUACAAGCAGUGGGAGCACGCUUAGGCGUGUGACUGCGUACCUUUUGUAUAAUGGGUCAGCGACUUAUAUUCUGUAGCAAGGUUAACCGAAUAGGGGAGCCGAAGGGAAACCGAGUCUUAACUGGGCGUUAAGUUGCAGGGUAUAGACCCGAAACCCGGUGAUCUAGCCAUGGGCAGGUUGAAGGUUGGGUAACACUAACUGGAGGACCGAACCGACUAAUGUUGAAAAAUUAGCGGAUGACUUGUGGCUGGGGGUGAAAGGCCAAUCAAACCGGGAGAUAGCUGGUUCUCCCCGAAAGCUAUUUAGGUAGCGCCUCGUGAAUUCAUCUCCGGGGGUAGAGCACUGUUUCGGCAAGGGGGUCAUCCCGACUUACCAACCCGAUGCAAACUGCGAAUACCGGAGAAUGUUAUCACGGGAGACACACGGCGGGUGCUAACGUCCGUCGUGAAGAGGGAAACAACCCAGACCGCCAGCUAAGGUCCCAAAGUCAUGGUUAAGUGGGAAACGAUGUGGGAAGGCCCAGACAGCCAGGAUGUUGGCUUAGAAGCAGCCAUCAUUUAAAGAAAGCGUAAUAGCUCACUGGUCGAGUCGGCCUGCGCGGAAGAUGUAACGGGGCUAAACCAUGCACCGAAGCUGCGGCAGCGACACUAUGUGUUGUUGGGUAGGGGAGCGUUCUGUAAGCCUGUGAAGGUGUGCUGUGAGGCAUGCUGGAGGUAUCAGAAGUGCGAAUGCUGACAUAAGUAACGAUAAAGCGGGUGAAAAGCCCGCUCGCCGGAAGACCAAGGGUUCCUGUCCAACGUUAAUCGGGGCAGGGUGAGUCGACCCCUAAGGCGAGGCCGAAAGGCGUAGUCGAUGGGAAACAGGUUAAUAUUCCUGUACUUGGUGUUACUGCGAAGGGGGGACGGAGAAGGCUAUGUUGGCCGGGCGACGGUUGUCCCGGUUUAAGCGUGUAGGCUGGUUUUCCAGGCAAAUCCGGAAAAUCAAGGCUGAGGCGUGAUGACGAGGCACUACGGUGCUGAAGCAACAAAUGCCCUGCUUCCAGGAAAAGCCUCUAAGCAUCAGGUAACAUCAAAUCGUACCCCAAACCGACACAGGUGGUCAGGUAGAGAAUACCAAGGCGCUUGAGAGAACUCGGGUGAAGGAACUAGGCAAAAUGGUGCCGUAACUUCGGGAGAAGGCACGCUGAUAUGUAGGUGAAGCGACUUGCUCGUGGAGCUGAAAUCAGUCGAAGAUACCAGCUGGCUGCAACUGUUUAUUAAAAACACAGCACUGUGCAAACACGAAAGUGGACGUAUACGGUGUGACGCCUGCCCGGUGCCGGAAGGUUAAUUGAUGGGGUUAGCCGCAAGGCGAAGCUCUUGAUCGAAGCCCCGGUAAACGGCGGCCGUAACUAUAACGGUCCUAAGGUAGCGAAAUUCCUUGUCGGGUAAGUUCCGACCUGCACGAAUGGCGUAAUGAUGGCCAGGCUGUCUCCACCCGAGACUCAGUGAAAUUGAACUCGCUGUGAAGAUGCAGUGUACCCGCGGCAAGACGGAAAGACCCCGUGAACCUUUACUAUAGCUUGACACUGAACAUUGAGCCUUGAUGUGUAGGAUAGGUGGGAGGCUUUGAAGUGUGGACGCCAGUCUGCAUGGAGCCGACCUUGAAAUACCACCCUUUAAUGUUUGAUGUUCUAACGUUGACCCGUAAUCCGGGUUGCGGACAGUGUCUGGUGGGUAGUUUGACUGGGGCGGUCUCCUCCUAAAGAGUAACGGAGGAGCACGAAGGUUGGCUAAUCCUGGUCGGACAUCAGGAGGUUAGUGCAAUGGCAUAAGCCAGCUUGACUGCGAGCGUGACGGCGCGAGCAGGUGCGAAAGCAGGUCAUAGUGAUCCGGUGGUUCUGAAUGGAAGGGCCAUCGCUCAACGGAUAAAAGGUACUCCGGGGAUAACAGGCUGAUACCGCCCAAGAGUUCAUAUCGACGGCGGUGUUUGGCACCUCGAUGUCGGCUCAUCACAUCCUGGGGCUGAAGUAGGUCCCAAGGGUAUGGCUGUUCGCCAUUUAAAGUGGUACGCGAGCUGGGUUUAGAACGUCGUGAGACAGUUCGGUCCCUAUCUGCCGUGGGCGCUGGAGAACUGAGGGGGGCUGCUCCUAGUACGAGAGGACCGGAGUGGACGCAUCACUGGUGUUCGGGUUGUCAUGCCAAUGGCACUGCCCGGUAGCUAAAUGCGGAAGAGAUAAGUGCUGAAAGCAUCUAAGCACGAAACUUGCCCCGAGAUGAGUUCUCCCUGACUCCUUGAGAGUCCUGAAGGAACGUUGAAGACGACGACGUUGAUAGGCCGGGUGUGUAAGCGCAGCGAUGCGUUGAGCUAACCGGUACUAAUGAACCGUGAGGCUUAACCUU